Molecule: long non-coding RNA, 471 nt
Organism: Homo sapiens (human)
Lineage: Eukaryota; Metazoa; Chordata; Mammalia; Primates; Hominidae
Source: Ensembl
UAUGGGCACAAAAAGGUUGCAUGUAGAGGUGACUCAGACCUCCAUGGCACCUACCUCCAUGCAUUGCCACCUUUCAACCCACAACUGAGGCCCUAUUGGUGUUUCUUAUUAACAGAAUGCUGCCAUCUCCAUGAAUAAUGCCCAUGUUAGCCAGCUGGAAAAUAAGAUACCAUGAAGAGGAGAAGCAAGGUGCCCCUGUUGACAGACCCAGGAGCAGAAGCUCACCCCCAGAUGCACAGCUGUCUAGUCAAAAAGCAGGUGAUGAUACAUGUCUGAAGGAGCUCAGCUGAGACCAGAAGAAUGGCCCCACUCAGCUCGGCCUAAAUGGCCAACCAUUUCAAUUAUAAACUAAUAAGUUUUGGAUGAUUUGUUAUGCCUCAAUAGCUAACUAAUACAUGCACCCAGUACAGAUAAGUUGCCAGGAUUCAGUGACAGGUUGACUAAGAGUUGGCUUCUAACAGUGGACACCCU